This is a ribosomal RNA of Sphenodon punctatus (tuatara), 117 nucleotides long. NCBI's taxonomy places the organism in Eukaryota, Metazoa, Chordata, Lepidosauria, Sphenodontia, Sphenodontidae. The record is from Ensembl.
GCCUACGGCCAUACUACCCUGAACACACCUGCUCUCGUUUUAUCUCGGAAGUUAAGCAGGGCAGGGCUGGUUAGUAGUGGAUGGGAGACCGCCUGGGAAUACAGGGUGUUGUAGGCU